GAUGAAGAACGUAGCGAAAUGCGAUACUUGGUGUGAAUUGCAGAAUCCCGUGAACCAUCGAGUCUUUGAACGCAAGUUGCGCCCGAAGCCAUUAGGCCGAGGGCACGCCUGCCUGGGCGUCACACGUCGUUGCCCCCCCCAUCUACUCCUUCGGGAUUGCGGGGGGCGGAUGAUGGCCUCCCGUGCGCCUUGUCGCGCGGUUGGCAUAAAUACCAAGUCCUCGGCGACGCACGCCACGACAAUCGGUGGUUGCGAAACCUCGGUUGCCUGUCGUGUGUGGUCGUCGCGCAUCGAGGGCUCGAAAAAAUUGCCGGGCUCCGGCUCGGCUUUCAACGCGACCCCAAGUCAGGCGGGGUUACCCGCUGAAUUUAAGCAUAUCAAUAAGCGGAGGA
RNAcentral lists this unclassified non-coding RNA (392 nucleotides) under soil metagenome. Its description in RNAcentral is "partial contains 5.8S ribosomal RNA, internal transcribed spacer 2, and large subunit ribosomal RNA". The stretch from base 1 to 122 matches the Rfam family "5.8S ribosomal RNA", at positions 35 to 154 of the family's 154-position model. The record is from RNAcentral.